AGUGAACGCUGGCGGUAGGCCUAACACAUGCAAGUCGAACGGCAGCACAGUAAGAGCUUGCUCUUACGGGUGGCGAGUGGCGGACGGGUGAGGAAUACAUCGGAAUCUACUUUUUCGUGGGGGAUAACGUAGGGAAACUUACGCUAAUACCGCAUACGACCUACGGGUGAAAGCAGUGGAUCUUCGGACCUUGCGCGAUUGAAUGAGCCGAUGUCGGAUUAGCUAGUUGGCGGGGUAAAGGCCCACCAAGGCGACGAUCCGUAGCUGGUCUGAGAGGAUGAUCAGCCACCCUGGAACUGAGACACGGUCCAUGCUCCUACGGGAGGCACCAGUGGGGAAUAUUGGACAAUGGGCGCAAGCCUGAUCCAGCCAUACCGCGUGUGUGAAGAAGGCCUUCGGGUUGUAAAGCCCUUUUGUUGGGAAAGAAAAGCAGCAGGUUAAUACCCCGCUGUUCUGACGGUACCCAAAGAAUAAGCACCGGCUAACUUCGUG
RNAcentral lists this ribosomal RNA (492 nucleotides) under uncultured bacterium. RNAcentral describes it as "partial 16S ribosomal RNA". It matches the Rfam family "Bacterial small subunit ribosomal RNA", at positions 29 to 507 of the family's 1533-position model. The record is from RNAcentral.